Molecule: ribosomal RNA, 466 nt
Filed under: Escherichia coli
Lineage: Bacteria; Pseudomonadati; Pseudomonadota; Gammaproteobacteria; Enterobacterales; Enterobacteriaceae
Description: bacterial SSU rRNA
Rfam family: Bacterial small subunit ribosomal RNA
Source: RNAcentral
CCUACGGGAGGCAGCAGCUAAGAAUCUUCCGCAAUGGACGAAAGUCUGACGGAGCGACGCCGUGUGAAUGAAGAAGGCCGAAAGGUUGUAAAAUUCUUUUGCAGAUGAAGAAUAAGAAUAAGAGGGAAUGCUUCUUUGAUGACGGUAAUCAUGCGAAUAAGCCCCGGCUAAUUACGUGCCAGCAGCCGCGGUAACACGUAAGGGGCGAGCGUUGUUCGGAAUUAUUGGGCGUAAAGGGUAUGUAGGCGGUUAGGUAAGCCUGGUGUGAAAUCUACGAGCUCAACUCGUAAACUGCAUUGGGUACUGCUUGACUUGAAUCACGGAGGGGAAACCGGAAUUCCAAGUGUAGGGGUGGAAUCUGUAGAUAUUUGGAAGAACACCGGUGGCGAAGGCGGGUUUCUGGCCGAUGAUUGACGCUGAUAUACGAAGGUGCGGGGAGCAAACAGGAUUAGAUACCCCUGUAGUC